GCUAACGCGAGGCAGGCAGGCGCGGUAAUACGUGGGGGGAAAGGUGUGUCAGGAUGUACUGGGGGUAAAGGGCGUGUAGCCGGGUCGGCAAGUCAGAUGUGAAAUCCACUGGCUUAACUCGUGAACUGCAUUUGAAACUGUUGAUCUUGAGUAUCGGAGAGGCAAUCGGAAUUCCUAGUGUAGCGGUGAAAUGCGUAGAUAUUAGGAGGAACACCAGUGGCGAAGGCGGAUUGCUGGACGACAACUGACGGUGAGGCGCGAAAGCGUGGGGAGCAAACAGGAUUAGAUACCCCGGUAGUC
RNAcentral lists this ribosomal RNA (300 nucleotides) under uncultured Bacillus sp. RNAcentral describes it as "bacterial SSU rRNA". It matches the Rfam family "Bacterial small subunit ribosomal RNA", at positions 496 to 795 of the family's 1533-position model. Lineage: Bacteria; Bacillati; Bacillota; Bacilli; Caryophanales; Bacillaceae. The record is from RNAcentral.